GAGAGCAAACCGCCGAUGGCCCGCGCAAGCGGGAUCAGGUAAGGGUGAAAGGGUGCGGUAAGAGCGCACCGCGCGGCUGGUAACAGUCCGCGGCACGGUAAACUCCACCCGGAGCAAGGCCAAAUAGGGGUUCAUAAGGUACGGCCCGUACUGAACCCGGGUAGGCUGCUUGAGCCAGUGAGCGAUUGCUGGCCUAGAUGAAUGACUGUCCACGACAGAACCCGGCUUAUCGGUCAGUUUCACCU
Molecule: RNase P RNA, 245 nt
Filed under: Klebsiella pneumoniae
Lineage: Bacteria; Pseudomonadati; Pseudomonadota; Gammaproteobacteria; Enterobacterales; Enterobacteriaceae
Description: bacterial RNase P
Rfam family: Bacterial RNase P class A
About the family: Ribonuclease P (RNase P) is a ubiquitous endoribonuclease, found in archaea, bacteria and eukarya as well as chloroplasts and mitochondria. Its best characterised activity is the generation of mature 5'-ends of tRNAs by cleaving the 5'-leader elements of precursor-tRNAs. Cellular RNase Ps are ribonucleoproteins.
Source: RNAcentral